AAUCAAGCUAGAAAGGGCACAUAGUGGAUGCCUUGGUGCUAGAAGGCGAUGAAAGACGUGAUAAGCUGCGAAAAGCUUCGGUGAGCUGCAAAUAAGCUAUGACCCGGAGAUAUCUGAAUGGGGUAACCUAAUACCAUUAAUAUGGUAUUGUUCCUUCCUGAAUAAAAUAAGGAAGGAAACGCAAAACCUGCUGAAUUGAAACAUCUUAGUAAGCAGAGGAAAAGAAAUCAAACGAGAUUCCGUAAGUAGUGGCGAGCGAACGCGGAACAGCCUAACCAUUAGUUGAUUAACGACGAUAGGAGAAUGCUUUGGAAAGAGCAGACAAAGAGGGUGACAUCCCCGUAUCCGAAAUCCAAGUUAACUAGGUGAAAGUAGCACACCACACGUGAAACGGUGUGUGAAGAUGGGGGGACCACCCUCCAAGGCUAAAUACUAACUAGCGACCGAUAGUGAACCAGUACCGUGAGGGAAAGGUGAAAAGUACCCCUGUGAGGGGAGUGAAAUAGAACCUGAAACCAUGUGCCUACAAGGUGUGAGAGCUCUUCGGAGUGAUCGCGUGCCUUUUGCUUAAUGAGUCUGCGAGUCAGUAUAUGUAGCGAGCUUAACUCCUUCCGGGAGGCAGGCGUAGGGAAACCAAGUCCGAAUAGGGCGUCAAUGAGUUGCAUGUGCUGGACCCGAAACGGAGGUGACCUACCCAUGGCCAGGUUGAAGCAGCGGUAAAACGCUGUGGAGGACCGAACCGAUGUGUGUUGAAAAACGCUCGGAUGAGCUGUGGGUCGGAGUGAAAGGCUAAUCAAACCCCGUGAUAGCUGGUUCUCCUCGAAAUGCAUUUAGGUGCAGCGUUAUGUGUUGAUGAGUGGGGGUAGAGCACUGAAAGGGCUAGGGGGCAUACCCGUCUACCGACCCCUAUCAAACUCCGAAUACCAUUCAAUAGAAC
RNAcentral lists this ribosomal RNA (937 nucleotides) under Gammaproteobacteria bacterium. Its description in RNAcentral is "partial 23S ribosomal RNA". It matches the Rfam family "Bacterial large subunit ribosomal RNA", at positions 1 to 976 of the family's 2925-position model. The record is from RNAcentral. Lineage: Bacteria; Pseudomonadati; Pseudomonadota; Gammaproteobacteria.